RNAcentral lists this transfer RNA (65 nucleotides) under Dianemobius furumagiensis. RNAcentral describes it as "tRNA-Ile". The record is from RNAcentral. Lineage: Eukaryota; Metazoa; Arthropoda; Insecta; Orthoptera; Trigonidiidae.
AAUGAAAUGCCUGAUUAAAGGAUUAUCUUGAUAGGAUAAAACAAGUAAUUAAUUUACUUUCAUUA